RNAcentral lists this ribosomal RNA (586 nucleotides) under uncultured bacterium. RNAcentral's name for it is "bacterial SSU rRNA". It matches the Rfam family "Bacterial small subunit ribosomal RNA", at positions 338 to 944 of the family's 1533-position model. The record is from RNAcentral.
CCUACGGGAGGCAGCAGUGAGGAAUUUUCCGCAAUGGGCGAAAGCCUGACGGAGCAAUACCGCGUGAGGGAUGAAGGAUUUUGGUCUGUAAACCUCUUUUCUCAAGAAAGAAGUUCUGACGGUACUUGAGGAAUAAGCAUCGGCUAACUCCGUGCCAGCAGCCGCGGUAAUACGGGGGAUGCAAGCGUUAUCCGGAAUGAUUGGGCGUAAAGCGCCUGUAGGUUGUUUAUUAAGUCCAUUGUUAAAGCCUAGGGCUCAACCCUAGAAAAGCAAUGGAAACUAGUAGACUAGAGUAUGGCAGGGGUAGAGGGAAUUUCUAGUGUAGCGGUGAAAUGCGUAGAUAUUAGAAAGAACACCGGUGGCGAAAGCGCUCUACUGGACCAUUACUGACACUCAGAGGCGAAAGCUAGGGUAGCAAAAGGGAUUAGAUACCCCUGUAGUCCUAGCCGUAAACGAUGGAUACUAGAUGUUGUGCAUUAUGUACAGUAUCGUAGCUAACGCGUUAAGUAUCCCGCCUGGGGAGUACGCUCGCAAGGGUGAAACUUAAGAUAUAGACGCGNGAGAGCGACGACGACGACGAGAGGAG